GCAGUGGUGGCUCAAUGGUUAAUGCUCUGGGUUACUGACCAGAAGAUUGGGGUUCAUGCCCUGUCACUGCU
Pangasianodon gigas (Mekong giant catfish) is the source of this 71-nucleotide non-coding RNA. The record is from the annotation of a GenBank genome assembly. Lineage: Eukaryota; Metazoa; Chordata; Actinopteri; Siluriformes; Pangasiidae.